GGAAGUAAAAGUCGUAACAAGGUUUCCGUAGGUGAACCUGCGGAA
This 45-nucleotide ribosomal RNA is filed under the name Sclerotinia sclerotiorum. RNAcentral describes it as "partial 18S ribosomal RNA". The record is from RNAcentral. Lineage: Eukaryota; Fungi; Ascomycota; Leotiomycetes; Helotiales; Sclerotiniaceae.